This 253-nucleotide ribosomal RNA is filed under the name uncultured Gammaproteobacteria bacterium. RNAcentral's name for it is "partial 16S ribosomal RNA". It matches the Rfam family "Bacterial small subunit ribosomal RNA", at positions 524 to 776 of the family's 1533-position model. The record is from RNAcentral. Lineage: Bacteria; Pseudomonadati; Pseudomonadota; Gammaproteobacteria.
UACAGAGGGUGCAAGCGUUAAUCGGAAUUACUGGGCGUAAAGAGCACGUAGGUGGUUAGGUUAGUCAGAUGUGAAAUCCCCGGGCUUAACCUGGGAACUGCAUUUGAUACUGCCUGGCUAGAGUUUAGUAGAGGGAAGUGGAAUUCCACAUGUAGCGGUGAAAUGCGUAGAGAUGUGGAGGAACACCAGUGGCGAAGGCGGCUUCCUGGACUAAAACUGACACUGAGGUGCGAAAGCGUGGGUAGCAAACAGG